Molecule: non-coding RNA, 722 nt
Filed under: Cryptosporidium parvum
Lineage: Eukaryota; Apicomplexa; Conoidasida; Eucoccidiorida; Cryptosporidiidae
Source: RNAcentral
UACCUUAAUAAGACCCAUAAUAAUCAUACUCAUCAAAAAUUGACGUGAAUUAAAACAUUAAUGUUGGAAACCACAACUAUUGGCAGGAAAACUGAAAUAUUGUAUGGUAGUUAGUUUUAAAAUCUUCCUUUCAAUUUACUACACCUUGGAGUUGUUUUAUAAGGGCUCGGUGGUCUUGGGGAUGGAUCACCAAAUUGACUUGUAUCUCCUCCAGAAUCAGAGCCAGAGUUUGAGGAACCACCUUGAUUUCCUCUUCCCCGUGGUCUCCUUCUUCCAAGGCGCGGAGAUUUUAAGUUUGCUCCAUCAAAUGGGCCUAAUUUUCCAUCACUUUCAGAGUUAGAAUGUGUGGGCUUUCCUUUAUUUCCGUAUCUCCACGGGUUCCUUCUGCGAGGGCGUGGAGAACUUAAACUUACUCCAGCAAAUGGAUUCGGGUCAUUUCCCUCGUCUCCUUCAGGGUCAUUUUCUUCGUCUCCUUCAGGGUUAUUUAAGGAUGAGGAUGAACUAGAAGAGUCAUUACAACCUGUUCCAUCUGGACGAUCUCCUGUACCUUUAAGGCUUUCUUCAUCAUUUGAAGGACCACUAGAGCCUAAAUUCAACGAUUUCAGUUUAAUCAAUGACAUUUUUGAAUGUUCGUCAACUCUGCCAAGCUGAUUGAAUGUGGUAUAAUUCAAUAAACAAAUUAAACAUAGAAACACAUAUAAAAACUUCAUUUUUAAAACCAG